Non-coding RNA from Equus caballus (horse), 6271 nucleotides. NCBI's taxonomy places the organism in Eukaryota, Metazoa, Chordata, Mammalia, Perissodactyla, Equidae. The record is from RefSeq and is a predicted model, not a curated record.
UGGACUGGGGUGGAGUGGCAGAAUCUGGAUCUACUGUGAAGGUGGAGCCAACAAGGGGAGUACUGGAUGUGCAAGGCCACGGAAGUAGAGACAUGAAGGUGGGCAGGGACCUGAGGUGGCCUCUAGGAGCUGUGUGACCCCCCCAACCAACAGCCAGCAGGGACGUGGACACCUCAGACCAGCAGCCACAAGGAAGUGAACAUCGCAGACCCCCUGAAUGAGCUUGGAGAAGACCCUGAGCCUCCACGACGGCACGGAGCCCAGCUGACAGCUUGAUUUCAGCCCGGGGAGACCCUGAGCAGAGAAGCCAGCUGUGCUGUGCCCGGCCUUCUGAUUGAUAGACACUCUAAGGUCCAGAAGCUACUUCCUAUUUUUCUCUCGAGGGAUGGCAAUAGCUUGUGCAAACGCCUGGGGGUGUGCAUGUGUGUCAGAUGCGAGCUGGGUGUGCCUCACUACGACGUCUCCCCUGGUCGUGCUAGGAUCGUGCUCCGGUCCCCUGAUCACGGCUGAUUCGCUAGUGUUGACAGACACCUGACUGCAGGCUGACAAGUCUCUCCUGGGGAUGUGAAACUUGAAUGGAGGGCACGCAGGCAGGGGGCGGUGGGAAAUGCGCCACCCCUGGCCAGCGCCCUAGAGAGGACAGCCACGGGCUCUGCCACUGAACCCCCUGGACAUUCCCGAGGAGUCUUCAUGUCUGGGGCGUGCUCUUCUGCCAUCCUGGGAACAGCUCUCCAUAAAUCCACCACUGGGCAACUUGGUGAGUCACUUUCUGGUGUUUGUCACCCAGUUCUCUCUGGCCGAUGUGGUGAUGGGGGGACAGAGCAUUGUAGGGGGGCUGAGGGCAGACUGUGGGAGGGAGCAGUGACCCUCUGGUCUGUGCAGGCAGCUGUGGAUGCUUCUGUGCAGAAAGAGCACUGGACUUGGAGUCUGGCUCUGUGACUUACCAGCUGUGUGAUCUUGAGCAAGUCACUCAGCCUUUCUGUGUGGUCCAGUGGGGUGGAACCAGGGGGGAUCCUGAAUGAGCAGAUGGGGAAACUGAAGACCAGAGAGAGGAGGGGCUUUACUUAAAGCCACACAGCAGGUUUAGGACAGACCCCGGAGAGCUGCUGGGUCCGCCAAAUGCCAGCCCUGAGCGGGGCGUCUGCUGGAGCAGGAAGCUCGUCUCUGACAGCAGGGCCUGCUUCCCCCAAGGAAACGUCACCGACCACAGAUUCCCUUCCCCACCGAUUGUUGCGUUUGGUCUGGUGAUAGCAUCAACGUCAUACUCGGGGGCAGAGCAAACUGAGCCCAGGGAGGGGCAGAGACUUGUCCACAGUCACACCGCAAGUUCCUGGCAGAACUGGAGUCUGAGCCAGAUCUGAAAAGCCCUGAGAUUUUGCUCUAAAUCAGUGUUUGUCAAGCUGAAGUCCGGGGAUGAGCUGGGGACGGUGAGUAACUAGCUCUCCGUAAGAAUUUCGUAAAUGGUUUACUUGCAUUUUGAUGAUGACCCUGAGAAAGUAACUCAGACUUACUGUGAAUCAUUGGUGUGACCGCAGGCGAGUCCUGCCUGAGAUCGGAUGGACUUGAGGUCACACUGGCAUCAAAGAACAACAUUUAUUGAGAACUGACUAUGGGCCAGGCCCCAUGCUUUGCAUUUUCCAUGAAUGUAUCAUGUAGUUAACCCUCACAACAACCCUAUAAAAUAGGUACUAUUAUCAUCCCCAUUUCACAGGUCAGGAGGUUGAGGCACAGAGAAGUUAGGUUACUUGCAACCAGGUCAACAGCGAGUAAGGGGUGCAUCCGAGAUUUGAAGCCAGGCCGACUCCAGAGCCCGUGGUCUGGACCACUGUGCUUUCCCACUGCCGUCAGCUCUGGGCGAUGGGAAAGGGGCAGAGGCGGCCUUGAUGCGGAAGGACAAAUUCCUGCUAAGGGCAGGCCGAGCGAGGCAGAGGCAGAGAGUGGGAAGGACGUGUCGCUGUGGGUGAAACAGAGCCACCGGGUGGGAGAAGAAAGUCAUCAGCUCACGGAGUUGGCUGGAAGGGUGUGACGAACCCGAAAGAAAUGGCAGCAGGGCUGGGUGUCCCAUGUUCACACUGCCAGUGACAAUUCAGGUUUAGCAAAGGCACAUUGUCCGUGUCACUAAAUUACCGUUGCUGCAUUGAUGCCAUGGCAGCAUACCUCACAGCAGCUAGAGCCGCAGGCUUCAGAGUCAUGAUUCCUGAGUUCAGAUCCAUCUUCCUCUUCGUCCUCAGACUAUGGGCAACUCACUCGGCCUCUCUGAGUCUCAGUUCUUCUCAACUCUGAAAUGGAAUUAUAAUAGCAUCUGAAAGACUGCUAAUUGCCUAUGCAGUUCCCUUCUCUCCUUUCACUUUUUUGACCAAACCCUGAUGUUAUGCCUGGUGGCAACAUACCCAGCUAAAACACUACAUUCUCAGCCUCUCUUGCAGCUACUGGUGGCCAAUGAAUGGAAGUUGUUAGGUGAAGAUUCUGGGAAAUAUCUUUAGAAGACACUGAUGCAGCUGGGAGGAAAGCCAAUUUGCCCUUCCUUCUCCUUCUUCCUACAUGGGACUCAGGCAUUAUGGCUGGAGCCCCAGCAGCCAUCUUGGAUCAAGAAGUGACCUUGACGAUGAAGCCGUAUAGUAAGGAUGAAGCAACACAAAGCUAGAAGGAACCUAUGACGUUGAUGACACCGUGAACCAGCCCUGACCUGGACUGAUCUUUCCAGACUUCUUUUUUCAAAUGAACUUUUUAUUUCAGAACAGUUUUGGAUUUACAGAAUUGUUGCAAAUAUAGUAUGGAGUUCCUAUAUACCCUAUACCCAGUUUCCCCUAUUAUUAAUAUUUUACAUUAGUAUGGUACAUUUAUCACAAUUAAUGAACCGAUAUUGUUACAUUAUUAUUAACUAAAAAGUUCACCCUUCAUUUGGAUUGCCUCUGUUUUCCUGAAUGUCCCUUUUCUGUUCUAGCAUUCCAUCCAGGGUCCUGCCUGACAUUUAGAAGUCAUGUCUCCUUAGGCUCCUCUUGGCUGUGACCGUUUCUCAGACUUUCUUUGCUUUUGAUGACCUUGAUGGUUUUGAGGAGUACUAGUUAGGGAUUUUGUAAAAUGACCCUCAAUUGGGAUUUGUCUAGUGAUUUUCUUAUGGUUAGAGCAGGUAAUGUGUUUCGGGGGGAAGACCACAGAGGUAAAGCGGCAUUGUCCCCCUAUUCCAUCCAGAGCAGACACUGUCAACGUGACUUAUCAGCGUGGAUGUGAGCUCUGGUCACCGGCAGGCUCUCCACUGUAAGAUUUCUUUCCCCCUUUUCCAUGCUGUGCUCCUUGGAACCGGUCACUGUGCCCAGCCCACACUUAAUGAGUGGGGAGUUAUCUUCCCCUCCCUAAGGGUGGAGUAGCUGCAUAAAUUAUUUCGAAUUCUUCUGCAUGGGCAGCUUGUCUCUUCUAUUUAUUUGUUUACUUAUUUACAUCAGUAUAGACUCAUGGAUAUUUAUUUUAUUCUUUGGGUUAUAAUUGUUACGACUUUUUUUUUUUUUGCUGAAAUUGUUCCACCUUUGGCCUCUUUCAGUUAGCUCCCCAGACUUCUUGACGUGACAGAAAAACAAACCGGGGUAGACAUUUUGCAACAAGUCUCCAAUUCCUCCCGUUUGUGUAUGCUCACGCCUUUACAAUGUGACUUUGCAGCUUCCCUCAUCAGGACCUGAAUUGCUCUCUGUCCCUGGAAUCUGGGCUGGGCCAUGAGACUUGCUUUGGCCAAUACGAAAAGGCCAAAGCAUGAAAAGAGCUUGUGUGUGGGGCUUGCUGCACCAGGGACCCUGAGACCACCAUGCGAGCAAGCCCGGGCGAACCUGCUGGAGGAUGAGAGGCCAUGUGGCCCGGUUGCCUCCACCGCCCUUGCCUACAGCCAGACCACAGCCAUGUGAGGGAGGCCUUUGACCGUAGUUGACUGCAGAUGUACGAUGAACCCAGAGACCAGCCGUCCCCACUGGGCCCAGUCCGAGCUGCCAGCCUACCGAGUCAUGCGCAAACCAACGUUUUUUGCUGUUUGAGAUCUAUCAGCUGGAGCGGAGACCUCAUUUAUGAUUGUGCACAAAUAAGUAACCUUCUGGCCAUGCCCUCCAGCCUCGGACCACCAGGAUCACCCCUGUAGGACUUGGCUGUCACCCGAGAGGCUCAGGUGGUUCGGAGCACCACCCAGGCCAAGUGGUCCCGGCCAGCUCCUGGGGGCAGGCUGCCUCCUCUUCCUCCAUCUAGCAGACACUGGUGGGUCCCAGAGGAUGCCUUCUCCCGCCAGAGGGCCGGCCAGAACUCAGCCCCGUUUGUGGCUUCAAUCCUCAGACUCGCCUCAUGGUGCAAGCUGCUGGUGCUCCACCCAUCACACCUACAUCUCAGGUAAAAGGAAAGGGGAGAACAAAGGGGUCCACCUUCUGGUUGGGUCAGCAUUCCCAUUUUCCUAACAUGACAUCUCUUCUUACAUAUCAUUUCCCAGAACAUGGUCACAUGCCAUACCUUAACAUCAAGAGAAUCUGGGAAAUGUGACCUUUAUAUGGGCACAUUAUUACCCAGAAGUGGUGUGUGUGUGUGUGGUUUUUUUUAAAAGGCCGUACAUUCUUUGACACACAGCGAGAGGUGGGGUCUGUCACCGUCCCCCUGCCUCUACCCGCACUCCGCAAAUCGGGGCUGGGGCUCAGAGACCCCUUUGACCAGCAGAACAGGGCAGAGUGAUGCUUUUAUAAAGUUGUUUACCACACCAGGUCAGAAAAGGCCAUGUGGCUUCUUCCAGUUUGGCUCGGAACCAAGACUGGCUUCACGGGCGUGUGACUCACUUAGCUGCACAGGGCCCUGUGCUCAGAGGGUCAUUCACUUGUGUCAACGCUCUGCCGCAGUCCUGAAAUUCUUAGAGAUUUUAUCUUUGACCUUGUUUUGUGAGUAAAGUCUGAUGGGACAAUGGAGCAUGCGCAAUGCAGAGGACAUGGGUGCCCCAGUUCCUUGCCACCCUAUCAGUACACGCGUCUGUGAUGCUGCUGCACGGCGUCCGUGACACGCUUACCUUGUGUGUGGGCCCUGUGCUCAGAAGGGCUCCUCUCUUGUUUUAAUGCUCUGCUGUCACAUCUCGAAAUUCUUAGCAGUUUUAUCUUUGGACUUGUGUGUUGGAAGUGAAUUCCGACGGACAAUGGAGCGUGCACGUGAGCGGAAGAGAUAAACGCAGUCUGGGUGUCCGCCAUCCACACAGCGUGUUCACAGCGUCCCACAAGCAGGGAGCUCUGGUGGCCCCACAGUGCAGGGUCAUUCAGCGAGACUCCGGUGAGCACAAGGUGAGCAUGUGGCGUCUCAGAUCGAGUAAGUAGGGGCGCAUCCCAGAGGCCACGCUUUCUGUUCGAACCAGGAUUUCCUUUGGUCACGGAGACAAAGCCAGUGGUGUUCUAAGAAACACAGACCACCCGGCAACCUUGUCAUAUCCUUUCUUAUCCAUGUCACUUCUCUGUAUCAGCCAACCGCUUACACUGAAAAUGAUGAGACACGGGACACAGCACUGUUCCCCUUCCUGUCCUUACUCAUCGGUAAGUAGGAAGCCGGGAGUCUUGGCAGAAGGCGUGACUACCAAGAAGUGAGAUAAAAACAGUCGUGUCAGUUUGGGGCAGCAGGUCCGCUGUCCUGGCGAGGAUGAAAUGCACGAGGAUGAGCUGUGAAAUCCCGGUGGGGUCAUUUCAGCGAUUCCACAUAUGAGUUAAUGCUCUUCCACUGGCAUUUAAAACUGACAUUGCACAAUAGGACGAUGAAUAGUAAAAUUCAUGCUAAUCAUUUAACAUCUUCGUUUUUCUUUACUUAGAAUAACAUUUAGUAGUAAAUUAAAAACACCAUGACAAGACGAGACAGGGAUUAAAAGAAAGGAGAGACUUUUUAUUCCAUAUCUACACUGGCACUUUUUCCCUACUUUCUGGACAAGGGGCACCGUAUUGUGUUGCUGGCCCGGCUUGGAAGCUUGCUGUCAGGACGCUUCGUCUCAGAACCCAGUCGCCAUGUGGUGAGGACCCAACCCCCAGGGAAAGGGCGUGUGUGGGUGCCCCGGUCUACAGCCCUACCCAAGCCCAGCCUUUGAGUCACCCCAGCCGAGUGACAGAAAUAAACCUCCAGAGGAUUCCAUUCCCGCCUCUGCCGGCCUUCCCCACACCGCGCCCAAACUUCCAGACGCCUGCGUCGAGCCCAGCCCUCGUGGAGCAGAGAUAAGCCAUCCCCACUCGGCCCCGUUUGAAUUCCUGACCUCCAGAAUCGUGCGACUGGGCGAGUGCAAUGAGCAGAA